CGACAAGCUGGAAAAGGGCGUAUGGGGAAUGCCUAGGCUCUCAGAGGCGAGGAAGGACGUGAUAAGCUGCGAAAAGCCGCGGGGAUCGGCACAUACGAUAUGAUCCGCGGAUAUCCGAAUGGGGCAACCCGGCA
RNAcentral lists this ribosomal RNA (134 nucleotides) under Maribacter sp. 4G9. RNAcentral's name for it is "partial 23S ribosomal RNA". It matches the Rfam family "Bacterial large subunit ribosomal RNA", at positions 1 to 133 of the family's 2925-position model. Lineage: Bacteria; Pseudomonadati; Bacteroidota; Flavobacteriia; Flavobacteriales; Flavobacteriaceae. The record is from RNAcentral.